ACACUGUUCAUCAGAGGCAUGGGGAAAGAGCUUUAUCAAAUCAUCAUCAUGUUAAUGUAGUCGCUAAGGACCACAGAUACUGACAGAAAUUACAUUCCCUCCCCAGCGCUCGCCAUUGCUCUCAUGAUCAUUAACACAUGCUGAUGAGACUCACACUAAACCCUCAUCCCUCUCUCCAUCCCUCCGUGUCUCUCUGCUGUGGUUCUCUCAUUAGGGCUGGGCGUUAUGACCAGAGGCUUGUGUCACGCUAGAACCGAUAAACUGAUUCACAGCACAUUUCAACGCAACUUCUUACAUCUGAAGUUUUAGUAAGGACUUGAGAACAGCUAGUGAAACCCAACUCUGAAUCAUCUGAAGCACCAGCGGAGAUCUGCACCUCAGCGUCUGAUCUCACUGAUGCUCUUCAGUCUGAACGGGAUCAAGAUCUGCUGGAAGAUCUUCCCAGAAGAGUGAAGCUGUUCUAACGGAAUGAAAGAGUGAACAUGCGUGAGGUCAGACGCUGACUGACGCUGAUCCAGUUCUCUAGAUUAGACCCUCGCUGGGUGCUUGCAUUAAGUCAUCAUAGAAAUCCUUCAGCAGGAGCUCAUUUAGUUUUAGGUGGGUUCUUGUGCUUUCAGAAAGAUGAGGUUCCCUUUCUAGGGCACUUCGAACUGUGUCCUCUAGGGGUCGCUAUGUGGAACUCCUCGUCAUGACCCAUGUCUGAAGCAUACAUUGAAAAAACAUCAACUUGUUGGCCGGCUACAGCAUCUGACAUCACUACCGGCGCGACUAUAAACAGACACCGGGAGAACAUGUCGUUCUCUUCUUCGUCUUCACUGACUGUUCUGUUUGAAACGUGCAUCUGAAAGAACUUGUAAGCGCUAUCUUUCUCUGUCUAUCAUGGUGACUACUAGCAAGAGUUUAGACAAUGUGUGCAUCCAUGUCGCCAUUCUUUGUCACCCAAUGAUACACACAAUCUUUGUCAUUUGUUUGGGUGAAGAGCACACCAUAAAGAGCACUAAUCUCCAUACAGAAAUCAAAAAGAAAUAAAAUAAACAGUUUCUUCUCGCAUCCAUCGGUUUCGGCAUAAGAGUUGUGCCGACAUCAAGGCGAUGCGCAAAAACGGCUAUGAGAGGAUGGCCCCUAUAGAAAGAGCUGUCUUUCUGUGGGGAGACAUCCUCUCUUAAGCUCCCUCUUUGCCAUCUAAGCCCCUUCAGAAAUUCAUCUGGCUUAAAUGGCAAGGCAUACACAGCAGCAGAUCAAGCUGUGGCUUUAUUACACAUGAUGGUGGUAAUUC
Long non-coding RNA from Carassius gibelio (silver crucian carp), 1276 nucleotides. RefSeq lists it as uncharacterized. The transcript is spliced from 3 exons. The record is from RefSeq and is a predicted model, not a curated record. Lineage: Eukaryota; Metazoa; Chordata; Actinopteri; Cypriniformes; Cyprinidae.